UACGGAAUGUGCAAGCGUUACUCGGAAUCACUGGGCUUAAAGAGUCCGUAGGCGGCAUGUUAGGUGAGGUGUGAAAUCCCCCGGCUCAACCGAGGAAUUGCGCUUCAAACCGGCGUGCUUGAGGAAGAUAGAGGUGGGCGGAACUGAUGGUGGAGCGGUGAAAUGCGUUGAUAUCAGCAGGAACACCGGAGGCGAAGGCGGCCCACUGGGUCUUUUCUGACGCUGAGGGACGAAAGCUAGGGGAGCGAACGGG
This 253-nucleotide ribosomal RNA is filed under the name uncultured bacterium. RNAcentral's name for it is "partial 16S ribosomal RNA". It matches the Rfam family "Bacterial small subunit ribosomal RNA", at positions 524 to 776 of the family's 1533-position model. The record is from RNAcentral.